Myiozetetes cayanensis is the source of this 5288-nucleotide RNA transcript. It is a transcript of the gene named gastrula zinc finger protein XlCGF7.1-like, with no coding region annotated. The record is from RefSeq and is a predicted model, not a curated record. The transcript has 4 exons. Lineage: Eukaryota; Metazoa; Chordata; Aves; Passeriformes; Tyrannidae.
CCCCAAAUGCACCCAGAGGCCCCCAAAAUGCCCCAAAUUCCAAUCAAACCCCUGGCAAAGAGGGAUCACCCAGCACUCUGGGACAGGAACACAGUGGGCUGUGCUGGGGGCACUGGGCUGUACUGGGAGGGCACUGAGGGGGCACUGGGCUGUACUGGGAGAGCCCUCAUCCCCAAAGCCCCUCCCCUGGGCAUCCGUGCCAGGGUCUGGGAACCAUGACGGGGUUGGAUCAAGGGGUGCACUUGAUGAUCUGGGAGGUCUUUUCCAAGCCGGCUGAUUCUGGGAUUCUCUGGGUGCCAUUGCCAGGGCAGCACAUGCUGGAGGCUCUGUCCACAGGGGAUAGAUGUGUCUGUGCAGACAGGGAGACAAGGGCAGUCUGCAAAGAGGUGGGGUUAGAAAAGCAGGAGAAGUUGUGGGGUGGUUGUGGAAGGAGAAAGAAGCCCCCAGGCCAGUGCAAGCAGGCCCCCCUGGGCUUGCACAUCAUCUGCCCUCCCUGCAGGUUCCUGUGCUGGAGAGCAGGCCCUGAGGUGUCCCUGAGCAAUGGCCCGGAGGUGAGCCCAGAGCUGUCCCUGAGGUGGCCCUGAGAAGAAGUGGAAGGCAGAGGUGGUGCUGAGGCAGGAGAGCCCCGUGCUGGGGAAGAGGCUGAGCUGGGAGUGCCCAGCAGGGAGAAGGUGCUGUGUCCAUGCCCUGUGUGCCAGCAGGAUUUGUCCUUCCCAAAGCUUGGGCAGAUGGAGGAGAAGGCUGCGAGGAAGACGAAAAAGCCACGGGCCCCCCAGGCAGGCCCCGAGCUGAGGACGGAGAGCACGGAGGACAAAUCCCCCCGGCAGAGCCUGGUGGGAGAGGCCGUUUUGAAGGGCUCCCCGGCGCAGGAAGGCAGCGGGGAGGAAAAGGCCCGGAGAUGCCCCCGGAGGAGGGGCUGCAAAGCCAGCCCAGGGAGCUCUGAGGAGGAAAGACCCGUCCUGUGCCGGGAAGGCGGCCGGAGCUUGAGCCGGAGCUCCGAGCUGGUGGUCCCUGAGCAGCCUCCCAGCAGGGAGAAGCCCUUCAGGUGCUUGGAAUGUGGGAAGAGCUUCAGGGACAGCUCCGACCUUCUCAGGCACCAGCACAUCCACACUGGGGAACGGCCCUACACGUGUGGGGAAUGUGGGAAGAGCUUCAGCCAGAGCUUCAGCCUCCGCACCCACCAGCACAUCCACACUGGGGUGUGGCCCUACAUGUGUGGGGAAUGUGGGGAGAGCUUCAGGAGCAGCUCCCACCUCCGCACCCACCAGCGCAUCCACACUGGCGAAGUGCCCUACUUGUGUAGGGAAUGUGGGAAGAGGUUCAGGAACAGCUCUCACCUCCGUACCCACCAGCUCAUCCACACUGGGGAACGGCCCUACAAGUGCUUGGAAUGCGGGAAGAGGUUUAGGGGCAGCUCAGAUCUCCUCGUGCAUGAGCGGACACACACAGGGGAGAGGCCCUUCCGCUGCACCGACUGCGGGAAGGGCUUCAACCAGAACUCCACCCUCAUCAGACACCGGCGCAUCCACACCGGAGAGAGGCCCUACAAGUGUGGGGAGUGUGGGAAGAGCUUCACCCAGAGCUCCACACUUGACCAGACACCAACGGACCCACCAGUAAGAGAAGCCCCUCGAGUGCCCCGACUACGGGAAGAGCUUUGACUGCUGCUCCCACCCUGAAUGACCCCCUGAUGGUGAGGCAACCCUGUCACCCAGGGUGGGGUGACACGGGGGGAACACAGGGGGUCCCCAUUCCUGAUCCAUCCCGGGGCCGUUUCUGCCUCCGCAAACUCGGCUCCACCCCUUGGGAUCCUCCAACCCCUCCCAGUGCUCCCCAAUAACUGGGACUGGGCAGAACUGGGAAGCUGCCCCCCAAUAACCAGAACUGGGGCAAAUGGGAUCGUACUGGGAGCACCUGGGCCCCUGCUGGGGUCAUACUGGGGUCUUACUGGGAAUGACUGCAAUGUUACUGGGAGUGUGUGAGAGGGACUGCAGCCAUACUGGGGAUGAGUGGGAUCAAACUGGCUUCGUACUGGAAGUGUCUGGAAGUUCCUGGGAUCAUACUGGGGGUGACUGGACUCAUACUGGGAUCAUACUGGGAGCAACUGGGACCAUGCGGGGGGAAAUGGCAUCAUCGAGGCAGGGACUGGGCCAUUCUGAAAUGGAGGGAGUAGGCUGUGAUAUCACAGAGGGACCCACGGCACACAGGUGGGGCUGAACUCUGGGGAUGUGGGGCCUUGGCUCUUUGUUUUCUAGGCACCAUUCCAGAAUAGAGAGGAUAGGCUGGGACAUCACAAAGGGGCCCAUAGCACAGAGGUGAGGCUGCAAAGCGGGGCAGUGGGAUGUGUGUAUUCCAGGGGCCUUUCCAAAUCGGAGAGGAUAGGCCAUGACAUCACAAAGAAGCCCAUGGCAGGCAGGGGGGGCUGCAUUCUGACAAUGUGGGGCAUCGGUUCUUUCGUUGCCAGAGGUUAUUCUGGAAUGGAGAGGAUAGACUAUGACAUCACAAAGGGGUGCAAGUUAAAUGGGUAGAGCUGCUCUGUGGGGUACGAGGUGCUGGGUCUUUGUUUGUCAGGGGCCAUUCUGGAAUGGAGACAAUAGGCCGUGACAUCACAAAGGGGCCCAUUGCACACGGGUGGGGCUGCCAUGUGGGUGUAUAGGUCAUUGUCUCUUUGGUUGUCAGGGACCAUUCCAGAAUGGAGAGUGACAUCACAAAGGGGCCCAUGGCAACAUGGGAGGGAUAGCAUGGCUGUCCCUAUGACAUUUUUCGGCUCUGCUCCUCUGGGAAUACAGAAGGCCAGUGCAAAAAAAUCACAGAGGCAAAGGCACAUACUGUGGAUCCCCUCAGAGUGCAACAUUCUGACCAAAUUUUCCAUCUCAGGUUCUUUAACACUGACCUCUUACUGCAAGGAUCUCCUUGCCAUUCAAUCUGUACUUGUAAGUUUGAGCACCACUGGGAAAAAAAAAAAAAAAACAAAUGACAAGGGAUGUGCUUGGAUUCACCAAAAAACACAGCCUAUCAGAGGUAACAUCUGAUUGGGACUGGCAGGAAAAUGCUCACCUUGCUCGUCUGCCCCCCGGUGUCGAUAGCCUGCCCCACCGCUCUCAUCCCACCUCCAAAGAAAGAACACAAAGACACUCACAGAACUACCUCUAACAAGAAGUGUCUGUCAGACCUACAAAGACAGAGGCACAAGAUUCCUCCGUGGGGAAGAUUCCCUGCUCUGCCCUGCACACCCCAGUGCUGCGGCCAAAACUCAGCCUCUCUGCUUCCCUCUCCUAAGGGACUCGUACCUGUACCCAGCUCUCGUGCCCUCUCUGGCUCAGAGCCCUCGACUUGUCUUACAGAGAGCUGGGCAUGUCAUUCCACCUUCCAAAAGCAGGUCCCUUUGGCUGGCUCAGGGGUUCCUGCAGUCACUGGUUUAUUCUCUUCGUCACCUCCAAGAAAGGAAACCCAAAGCAAUGCACGGCUUCAGCUGCACAUGGGCCAAACCCCAACAAUUCCACCACUCACUGUCUCCAAAGUGCACCGAGGUCCUCGAGUCCCCGGCGGCCACCAAAGUCGGAGCCUGCAGCUCUCACUGCAUGGCACACCUUGGGUAGGGACAGAAAAUAUUCUGUGGCAUUUCUGAAAGUUCCCUGGACCCCUGUUCCUCCUUGCUGCCUCCACGACUCACCUGGAAUGUUCAGCUCUUCACAGAGGCUACCGGGACGGCACAUCCAAAGAGAGGAGGGUGUUGUGCUCUGGAUUAAGCUGUGAACUGCCCAGAGCAUUUGCAUUUUUUAUUUAAGACUUUUUAAAAGCUUUUGCUUUUUUAUAACCUCUAAUUAGAGUCCGGAGACAGAGUCACACACUCUUCUCUAAGAGAAAUUCUUUUUAAUGUAGUGAUAAAGAUACGAUAUUUUGCCAAAAGGCUUUUAUAAUGGCCAGUCUUCGUGAGUGAAAAAAAAAAAGGCUUUUACAGGAGUAAAAUACAACCAAGGAAAAAGCAUUUCACUGAAACAUUCAGCACAAAGAGCCAUUCCACAGGAAACACCCACUAAAACAAUCCAUAUACCAGCUUUAGUCAAACACAGUUCAUUGCUUUUAAGUUACCCACAAGAGAAGGAAAAGAGUAAAAGAAAACAGACUAAAAGAAAUAAAGAAAGAGAGAAGGAGAAAGGGGAGAAAAAAUGGUUGCUGAUGAGUCAAUGAUUCACAUGGUACCAGUUGGAGAGGAAGAAGAGACAGGAAGAGGAGAGGAUGUCCUCUAGGCUGAUGUUUUAUUCCCUUUGGAGUGAGUGCAGCCUCCGAGGGUUGAGCCCUGUCUGGCUGGGCUGGGCCUGUCCUGGAGAGACUCAGGCCUGGCUGGGCUGCCCCAGGUAGACGUUGCAGGAAGAAGAGCCCAGGCCGCCUGUGUCUGCUGUCCCUGGGGCUCAGCCUGUGUCCCAUUCCUGCCCAGGGGCUGAGCCCACCUCUGCCUCGGGGCCUUGGGCAAAGGGCUGGCGAGGGAGAGGCCCAGGAGCCUUGGGGCCUGCCCAGCUUUCCUCCUCCCUGGGGGCUCCUGUAAAGUAAACAGGCCAAGUAAACAGGGACCCGAGAGACAGGAAAGGAGAGGAGUGAACUAAGCCCUCAGUGAAACCCCCACUCACACAGGUGUGUUUUACGAGGUUGUCUUACCCACCCCAGGAUAACAGAAUUACCCCCAGCAGAGGCUGCAGGCUCACAAAGAGAGCGGCAGCUCCACAGAAGGCAACGUUGUCCUUCCUGUGAAGCUUGAGAACCCCCAGCAUGAGCCACCUGCAUUUUUAUCCACUUAGCCGGUGACGUCUCCCUGGGCCGGUGUGGCAGCACCGCCCAGCCAGAGGCCCUCGGUCCCUGCCCCGUUCUGUGAGUGCCCCCCUUCAGCCAUGCGGGAGAACGUGGGGAUUCCCCUCGCACUUGCGCUUUUUCACUCAAGGGCUCUGAUCUAUUUGGGUCUGGGGGCUUUACUUCAUCCUCUCCUCUUUGGUUCCUCUUUCAAAAACCCUCUACAGACAACCAGCCAAUCAAAGAACACCAAUUAAAAUAGUUUAUACAAGAAACUCUCUCUCCAAGGACGAAGCUCCCGUUUAUCAGUGAACUUGGCAGGCCAAGAACAAAACUUUUGCAGGUGGCUGGACCAAACACAGACCAAAAGAUAUCAACAAUCCCUGAUACACCUGCCCUGAUUUCUGUGUUGAAGAUGCUUCUUCAGCCCUUCUCUGGAGCUGCAGGGGCAGUGCCUGUGUGCAGAGUUGGAGGGAAGAGACUCCCAGCACAGCAGCACAGCC